This 391-nucleotide unclassified non-coding RNA is filed under the name soil metagenome. RNAcentral's name for it is "partial contains 5.8S ribosomal RNA, internal transcribed spacer 2, and large subunit ribosomal RNA". The stretch from base 1 to 122 matches the Rfam family "5.8S ribosomal RNA", at positions 35 to 154 of the family's 154-position model. The record is from RNAcentral.
GAUGAAGAAGGCAGCGAAAUGCGAUACUUGGUGUGAAUUGCAGAAUCCCGUGAACCAUCGAGUCUUUGAACGCAAGUUGCGCCCGAAGCCAUUAGGCCGAGGGCACGCCUGCCUGGGCGUCACACGUCGUUGCCCCCCCAUCUACUCCUUCGGGAUUGCGGGGGGCGGAUGAUGGCCUCCCGUGCGCCUCGCCGCGCGGUUGGCAUAAAUGCCAAGUCCUCGGCGACGCACGCCACGACAAUCGGUGGUUGCGAAACCUCGGUUGCCCGUCGUGUGCGGUCGUCGCGCAUCGAGGGCUCGAAAAAAUUGCCGGGUUCCGGCUCGGCUUUCAACGCGACCCCAGGUCAGGCGGGGUUACCCGCUGAAUUUAAGCAUAUCAAUAAGCGGAGGA